Molecule: non-coding RNA, 27 nt
Filed under: Mus musculus (house mouse)
Lineage: Eukaryota; Metazoa; Chordata; Mammalia; Rodentia; Muridae
Source: RNAcentral
UGGAAUUAAAGUGUACACCUCCACCCA